AUUUUGCCAGAGACUGACAGCGAGAGCACAUGUCGGUCGAGUAGCGUCGCCGGAGAAAAAAAAGCACUAGUAAACCAAAUGUCCAAAACACGAGGAGCGUCCAUCUUCUCCAACUCAACUGACAGUUGUUGGUCACUCGCACCAGCCGCCCAGCCGGAACCGGAAGCGGAAACUGAAGCGAGGGACCCGGGCACCGGCGCCGGCACGAUUCACUAGAUCGUAGGCGCAGGCGCGGGUCCGUCUGUGACGGACACGGCGGUGGUGGCGAGGAGGAGGAGGACUUGAGGAGCGUUGGGGUGAGCGAGCAAACCAGAUGCGCUCGGAAUGGGGAAGCCCUUCGAUGUGGAGCUCGGCGGCGGCGCGGGAGGCCUCGAGAUCGCCGGAGCCGGAGGCGGUGGCCCAUGGGGAGGGCGAGUCUUCGGCGCGAUCGGGCGGGCGGUUUCGUUCCGGUGCGUCUUCGUGCUCCUGCUCGCGGCAGGGGUGCUCAUACCGGUGCUGUUCCUGCUCGUGCCCUCGCGCCAGCAGGGGUACCUCUCAGACGACCACGACGUGCUCGCUGCUGAAAUCAAAGUUGGUUUCACUUUGGAAAAGCCAGUGUCAUUCCUUACUUCUCACAUAGACAAACUAGGGAAUGACAUAUUUGAAGAUAUUGGUGUACCUAAUAGCAAGGUUUCCAUUGUUUCAAUGCACCCCUUGACCUCUAAAUACUUUACACAUAUCGUUUUUGGUGUUCUUCCUUAUCCAAAAGAUGCUUCAAUAAGUUUACCGGCUCUAAGUGUGCUGAGAUCAUCCUUAAUAGAGAUGAUGCUCCAGCAGGUGAACCUAUCCUUAACACCAUCACUGUUUGGGCACCCAUCUUCUUUCGAGCUAUUGAGAUUCCCUGGAGGAAUUACAGUAAUUCCUGCACAGUCUGGUUUUACAUGGGUGAACACAGACCCCCUAUUCAACUUUAUGUUGAACAACUCCAUUUAUCAGAUUUUGGGUAAUCUUACAGAGCUCAAGGAUCAGCUGAAACUUGGAUUGAACUUAAGGUCAUACGAGAAAAUAUAUUUUCAGUUCAGGAAUGAGAUUGGUUCUUCAGUUGAAGCUCCAGCAACUAUUGUGGCAUCAGUAUUAGAUGGAAGCAGCAAUCUUUUACCAGAUAGAUUGAGACAACUAGCUAAGCUAAUCAGAGAACCUGAUGCGAGGAAUCUUGGACUUAAUCACUCUGUAUUUGGUAAAGUAAAGGGUGUUCAGCUGUCAUCGUACCUGCAACACAAAAUCUCUGGUUUAUCUCCUAGCCCAUCUCCGGCUCCAUCGCCAUCACAAUCACCUUCUCCAAGCAUGCCGACAUCCUUGUCACCUUACCCUGCAUCAAGUCUCCCUGGUCCAGCUUUAGCCCCUUCAUGGAGCAGACACCCUUGCUUUCCAUGUUUUAGGUGUAAUCCCUCUCCUGCUGGUAGUUCAACGGUAAAACCUCCUUGCAUUGUUAGAGACCCCAGGCUACCUCCAUUAAUGCAUUCACCAAAGCCACCCAUUAUGCCUUCCCCGCCAAAAUACCUCCCUCCAGCAGAUCCACCGGUUCCUUCCCAUGUAGUUCCUCCUCGCCCCUUACCUAAUCCCAAUCAUUUUCCAAAAGCAGUUUCUAGACCCAAUUCUCAAAUGAUGCCAAUACCUUCGCCCUCAAGACCAGUGUCUCAACAUUGGAAGGCCCCAAGGAAAAAAGAGAAUAGCAGAACUUCGAAUUUCUCUCCAAUUGCGCCAUCUCCAUAUGCUCUCCUUCACACUUGAAGUUAUGCUUGAUUGGAUGCCUGGGUUGCUUCGAAUGUUGGGCAUGCGUCAUCAGGAAAAUCUAGCCAGAAGAGAGGGUUCACUAUGGUUGCAGUUCUGCUUCAAGCAUGACCAUGAGUCGCAAUCGUGGGCUAUGAUGCAAACACCAGGCUUUGUUUAUUGGCUAAUGUAACUAUAUGAUGAAUUCUAAAGCUCUUCAGAUCAGGUUAAUUGUAGAUAUAGGUCUAUACAAUGCUAAUUAACCAGGGUAUUACGCCACGAAGGUGGCUGCCCUACGCCCUUAUCAAAUUUUAAGUUCUCACCGAAGGGUUGGGAGCUUAUACAGAGGAGAAUGUAAGCACUCUAUUACUCGGAGUACACGUUCUGCAAUAUUACUGCUUCUCUGCAAGACUUCAUCUCUUUGGACAUAAAGCAAAGAGAAGACAAGAAAGCACUAUUGAUUUCAUCGCGGUGGAGUAACUUAGAGAUGGCAACGGGACUCGAUCCCAGAUUUCCAGCGACAUUAGAAAAUAGGGAUGCAGAAGUUUCUUCCCCACAAGGAUGUAAACAGGGAAAACUUUUUCUCCAACGUGGACGGGAAAGCAUUCUUCAUUCCGUUUUAGGAUC
Molecule: RNA transcript, 2376 nt
Organism: Zea mays
Lineage: Eukaryota; Viridiplantae; Streptophyta; Magnoliopsida; Poales; Poaceae
Exons: 6
Source: RefSeq, marked predicted